This is a long non-coding RNA of Pleuronectes platessa (European plaice), 427 nucleotides long. RefSeq lists it as uncharacterized. The transcript is spliced from 3 exons. The record is from RefSeq and is a predicted model, not a curated record. Lineage: Eukaryota; Metazoa; Chordata; Actinopteri; Pleuronectiformes; Pleuronectidae.
CAACAGGCCAUAACUGACUGAUUUCACAGAGCGCAGACAAAUUCUUUGAGGAAUUAAACUUUUUCAGACUGUUCCCCGGACCGGAAAGACCUCUCAUAUUUCUUAAAGUCCACAACUACAUAAAAGCCAGUCCGAGAGAUUCUGAUUUGGUUUGAAUACUGGUACAGAAAUUAUUGUACUGUGCCGGAAUCAGAAGUGGUCACCAUUUACUUCAGUUGUGUUGGAUUUGGCUUCAACGCUGUUCACCCGUGCGACUCCAAAAGUGUUUAUUUGGACCCCCUCCCUCAGCACAGUGGUGCGACUUUUCUGAAUAUCCUUUGAAUAGCAUCAAGUACAGGGAGCUGGACAUGCUGGGCCCCGGCAGGUCAUCGAUGGUCUUCAGCCUCCCUGUGUCGGUCGUCGUCUGGACGUCCAGGUUCCUCCUGAC